GCCGAAGUGGUGGAAUGGCAGACACGCUAUCUUGAGGGGGUAGUGGGGAAACCCGUGGGGGUUCGAGUCCCCCCUUCGGCACCA
RNAcentral lists this transfer RNA (84 nucleotides) under bacterium. Its description in RNAcentral is "tRNA-Leu". It matches the Rfam family "tRNA". From Rfam's summary of the family: Transfer RNA (tRNA) molecules are approximately 80 nucleotides in length. Their secondary structure includes four short double-helical elements and three loops (D, anti-codon, and T loops). Further hydrogen bonds mediate the characteristic L-shaped molecular structure. tRNAs have two regions of fundamental functional importance: the anti-codon, which is responsible for specific mRNA codon recognition, and the 3' end, to which the tRNAs corresponding amino acid is attached (by aminoacyl-tRNA synthetases). tRNAs cope with the degeneracy of the genetic code in two manners: having more than one tRNA (with a specific anti-codon) for a particular amino acid; and 'wobble' base-pairing, i.e. permitting non-standard base-pairing at the 3rd anti-codon position. The record is from RNAcentral.